UUGGAGAGAUAUUUGAAAGGAAACAUCUUCAAGAAUUUGAUAAAUUAGUGAUCUGAGGGAUGAACAAGAGCGGAAUUCCCCAGGUGCAUGGCACAGCCUGAUACAUAAAGGGACACCCAGUGUGCAGCACAACCAGGUUUCCCUCCCUUUGCUGACCGAAGCAGCUGAAGCCACAGCAGCUGGCAGUGGGCAAGGUAAGCUCCUGGCUUCCUGGAAAAAUCCUAGGCAGACCUCAGCGUCAGUCGGACUGUAUUUGAUCUGCCAGGUACAUGUUCAGUAGGACAGAAGGGCUUGGGGUUUGAACAGUUUUUAGUGUAAAUCUAUCUGUGCUCAGAGAAGUGGGCUACAUGCACCCAUCUUUGGAAAGGAACCAUUUUCACCUAGAAGAGCCCUCACCAAAGUAAUAUCCUUAGUGGAAACGGAAUUUGUUUAAUAUUCCAUUAGUGAUUUCUACCCCUUGCACCUACCCAAUUCGACAAAUAUUUAUUAAGCUCCUAGCAAGUACUUAGGACUCUGUGAUGUGCUACGGACUAUCGUGAAGGAGUAAACUUGAAUUAAUGACAAAACAAAAUGAAACCAUUGUUUAAGUAUCUUCAUAGGAAUUCCAUUACUAGAAGCAAUGAGAAAGUAUGAACCCCAAGUUAGUGAUACCCCCGCCAUUCCUCAUCCUCAUAUGCACACGCAGACACAGAGAAGAGCUGAGGUGGAAAUGUCCUCGAGGUAAAAAUACCCAGGGCUUCUUACACAGUGCCAGGUGUCCUGGCUGUGCUGCCCCACGCUGUCCUCUCAUUGAUGAAAUGCUGAUGAAGCUGCUUUGUGCUCCAGAAUGGACCAAUGGGUCAUUCUCUGUUUCUUGUCAACUUCAAAGAGGCUGGGCAGACUGAGUUUGUUUUAACUCUACUGACCCCAAAUGCUUUUGUCUGUAUCAGACUUUAUUCUUAUCUUUUCAGAAAUGGAACCGUUUCUCUUUUUCCUGUUUCCUCAUGUUUUCCUACAAGGCACAAACUUACAAAAGACCGUUUCUGAAAGUGGAGCAGACAGGAAAAGCACCCAAUUUUGGUUUGUUUCUAAAUAUUUACAGAAUUUUCCAAAGUCGGUCCUUUUGGUGUGUCACAGAGCGGGGAUUCCAUCUCAAUCUACCUUGAAAGAUGAUUGAAUUAAACAAGCAUUUGGUGAGCAUCUGCUUUGUAUCGGCUUUGUUCCCAGGGAGUUAGAGAUGAAGUAGGAUUUGUCCCUGCCCUUGAGGAGUUUAAAAUCUAAUUGAGCGAGAGAAGCAACAGUAAUUAAGCCAAGAAGUUACUUCUGAGUUUUUUGAGUCACAUUCCUGGCUUCGGUGUUUCUAUGUGUAAUGGCCAGAAGGGUCUAUUAGUUUUAAUCUAUGUAACAUAGUAGAUUUAGUUGUUCAUGAAAAACAUCUUUCUAACCCAAAUAAAGGGAACUCAAUCUAGACACUGGGGCUGCUUUUACGAAUUUUCAAGCUAAUUUGAUUAUGUAGUUCUUUUUCUCAUAGUCCUUUGUUCCAGACUCUCUAACUGUGAACAUUCAACACUCACCCAGUCCUGCCACUUACCCUGGAGGGUAAAGCUGGAUCAGGCAUGAAUCCAGCUCUCCAGGAGCUCACUGCCAAGCUCAGCAGGCGAGACAGGACAUGAGGGAGAAAGUCACUGGUGCACAAGAACACUCAGACCACAGGACCAGCAACUGGGGUCUUGUCCUGAGAGCUGGGAGCCCCACCUCGCAGCUGUUCCUGAUGUCCCCACAUCAGGAUGCACCCUAAGGACUGUGGGAAGGGCUUUGUGCCUUUUGGAUGAAAGGUGUAUUAUAUAAGUUCCAUAAAAACUUUUUGGAUAAAUUUAGAAAAAAAUAAUAGACAAUGAUGAUAAUAACAUCCAGCAUUUUUGAGUGCUCAUUAUAUGCUUGGCACUAAACUAAUGGUGGGAAUACAGCUCGAAUCUGUAACUCUGUUUAUAUCUGCUGCUCCCCAAAUUAUCAAAAUAUUCAUUUCUAAAUGGAGCCUGUUCAUGACUGUUAACCUGAGUGAUUUUUUCACGGGAAUUCAUCAUACCAUCCUCUCUACUUUUGUGUUUUGAAAUUUUCCAUAAUAAGAGGCUAUGCAAAAAAGGAAGGGGGCUAAAUAAACUUCAGUAACCCAAAUAAUAUCUCAGAUAAAAGAUGGAGAAGAAAGAAGGAAGUCACUGUUCUCCUGUGUUCACUGUGUGUCAGAUCCUUCACAUUCACUAUGUGUGAAUUAAUGGCCAGCCCGUUUUACUAGUGAGGCAAAUGAGGCUCCGACCGGUUAAAAGCUUUUUUUAAGGAGUUGACACCGGCCCAAAGCUUAGCCCUUUCCAGUAAGCCACACCGCCCUUCUGGUCCACACGGUUUCUGCAGGCAGCAUCGCCAUGAAUUAUCCUGGCAGCCCGCAGUGCCAGCCGGUGAAACCACAGAGCUGCUGUUUGGAAGUCCCUCAGACCUACCUACAGUUCAAAACCCAAUAAAGUGUUCCGAAAACAUGAUGCUCCAGGAAAAAAUUUAAAGCAAUAUAUGAAAACUGUCAAAGCAAUGGCUACUGGUAAUUUUUAUCUGAUAGGACUGUCCUAAAAUGUCCAUUUUCUGGGGGUGUGUGCGUGUGCACACGCAUGUCUAAUAUUUGGGACUUUGGGGUAACCAACUUUUAUUUCCAGACAUUUCACAACCUCUCUGUCAGGCCAGGAAUAAGCCCCAUUUACAGAGGCGGACAGAGGGCAGUCGGCGUCGCCGCCCAGCGAGGAGGGGGCAGCGGGCCGGGCCUCAGGCGUCUGCUCUCCCACCACUUCGAUCCUCAGGCAGCAGAUCCACCCCAUCGUUAGUGCCAUGCUUUCUGAGUGUCAAUUAGCAGCUUUUCUGAGAAGACAGAGGCCUCUAGGGGAAAGCAAAAGAACUAACUACGGCUGAACAAUACUGGAAAGGAGAUCACAAAGUAGCAUGGGUGCAGGAUGAAGCACCAGGACCUGCUUUGAAAAGAGAGAGAGAGAAAAAUCAAAACAGUGGGGGAAGUGAGAUCCUGUGGCAACAGAAGGGAGCAGAGGGGGAUUACCUUCGACUGCCUCCGGAACACCUGCAACCAAAACAAAGAAUCAGAGGAAGGGAAAGCCAGAGGACUAGGCUGGAGAGGAGAAAAUUUGGCUGUUGGGUUAAGAAGAGAAUAGGGGCAACCCAACCAGUCACACCUAAUCUGACAACAUUGGGAGUUUUCCUGGAAAAACAAUGACUGCAUUGAGCUGCUUGCUUCUAACUUCAUUUGACAGCCAGAGUUUGUUUUAAUUGGCAUGUGAAUGAAUAGCAUUAUUUAUUAAUGUGUAAUGGAUACUUUGGAAAGCAUAACCUUUUUUCCUAUCUGUGACCAUUUUAUUGGCGGAACCAUUUGAAUAUAAUAGUUUUAAUAUUUAAACUUGCUGGGAACACUUUUUCAUGGAGAUGUACAAGCUGUUAUGACAAAUGGUUUGGUUUGGAAUAAUGAGCCAGCUUGGAGUGGCAUUUGGCAGGGAGGGGGGUGGGAAGGUGAGGGGGUUUGGAGUGAGAGCCACUUGUCUGUCUGCUUUAACAAGAUUUAUGAGUAGUGUGUAAAAACAUGUUUUAGCUUUUUUUCCCCCUCAACUAUAUAAAUAUAGUUGUCGAUGUGUGACAUAACCCAGGCCACCAUAAUAGACUCCACCCAGCCAGCAGGAAUCUAAUUCAGAGCUAGAAAGCAAGACGCUUGCCUAGAAACGAACAGAAUGAGAUGAUGAGGACAUGGGUGAGUGGCCUUUGGCAUGCAGGAGCUGGCAUUCUUCUUUAGUGCCUUACUAAAAUUAGGGCUGAAAAUUAGUUUUUGUAUUAUUAAGUACAGUGUUUGACAUAAAGUAGGCAUAAAAAAUAGGUAACCUGAAUAGAAUUGAUUUUGUAUGCUGAUGAACACCUGAACAUAAUUCCAUUUUUAGAUCUAAUACACAGCCUUGUUAAUUAUGAAUCAUGGUUGGGGUUAUAGUCCUUUUGUGUCUGUGAGGGGCAGCAAUGGGAGGUCAAUGGAGGGUGGCCAGGGAACUCUUGUUUUUGUUUUUUGUUUUUUUUUUGGUAAAUAUCGACCUGAUUCUAUUUGUUGCAGAGAUUAAAUGGGUACCCUUAAGUUAGUUAGAAAGUAUGUUAAUAAAAAAACAAUUUACAACCACCUACAUUUUUUUGUCUCUCUCUAGCGACUGUCAGUUGAAUGCUUGCAAGCCAGUGUCCUAAGUACAGUAAUACUAGGAGGUAUUAAAACAGCCCCUGCCUUCAAGGAACUUUUAUAACGUAAUUGGAGAGAAGAGACACAUGUAAGCACCCACAUACACGAUGCGUGUG
Molecule: long non-coding RNA, 4353 nt
Organism: Equus caballus (horse)
Lineage: Eukaryota; Metazoa; Chordata; Mammalia; Perissodactyla; Equidae
Source: Ensembl